This 492-nucleotide ribosomal RNA is filed under the name uncultured bacterium. RNAcentral describes it as "partial 16S ribosomal RNA". It matches the Rfam family "Bacterial small subunit ribosomal RNA", at positions 29 to 507 of the family's 1533-position model. The record is from RNAcentral.
AGUGAACGCUGGCGGUAGGCCUAACACAUGCAAGUCGAACGGCAGCACAGUAAGAGCUUGCUCUUACGGGUGGCGAGUGGCGGACGGGUGAGGAAUACAUCGGAAUCUACUUUUUCGUGGGGGAUAACGUAGGGAAACUUACGCUAAUACCGCAUACGACCUACGGGUGAAAGCAGGGGAUCUUCGGACCUUGCGCGAUUGAAUGAGCCGAUGUCGGAUUAGCUAGUUGGCGGGGUAAAGGCCCACCAAGGCGACGAUCCGUAGCUGGUCUGAGAGGAUGAUCAGCCACGCUGGAACUGAGACACGGUCCAGACUCCUACGGGAGGCAGCAGUGGGGAAUAUUGGACAAUGGGCGCAAGCCUGAUCCAGCCAUGCCGCGUGGGUGAAGAAGGCCUUCGGGUUGUAAAACCCUUUUGUUGGGAAAGAAAAGCAGCAGGUUAAUACCCCGCUGUUCUGACGGUACCCAAAGAAUAAGCACCGGCUAACUUCGUG